AUCGCUUCUCGGCCUUUUGGCUAGGAUCAAGUGUAGUAUCAAAAAAUAAGUAAAUAUUAAACAAAGGAUUUUUAAAAAUGGAAGCCUCU
Molecule: small nuclear RNA, 89 nt
Filed under: Suricata suricatta (meerkat)
Lineage: Eukaryota; Metazoa; Chordata; Mammalia; Carnivora; Herpestidae
Description: U2 spliceosomal RNA (ENSSSUG00005004944.1)
Rfam family: U2 spliceosomal RNA
About the family: U2 is a small nuclear RNA (snRNA) component of the spliceosome (involved in pre-mRNA splicing).
Source: Rfam by way of RNAcentral